This 477-nucleotide ribosomal RNA is filed under the name Triticum aestivum (bread wheat). RNAcentral describes it as "partial small subunit ribosomal RNA". Lineage: Eukaryota; Viridiplantae; Streptophyta; Magnoliopsida; Poales; Poaceae. The record is from RNAcentral.
CAACUCCCGCGGACGGUCCUCCUCUAUUAUGCCAACUUCGUCUCCUCUCCGGAGGGCUACUUCCAAACUGUGGUCUGCAACGCCAAUGAGUUUGGCAACACCACUGUAAACCACGACAUGCACUACAUCUCCUGGGACAACCCCCCAGGUCAGCACCCACAGCUCCUCAACGCCAGCCACUGGGACAAGAUGGUUGGCAACAAGGCCCCCUUUGCGCGGAAGUUCGGCCAGGACGACAUGGUGCUUGACAGGAUAGAUGCAGACCUCCUGUUACGGCCACCAGGCAUGGUCACCCCUGGAGGCUGGUGCAGGGGGGAUGUUAGCAGAAGUAGCGAUGGUCCUUGUUGCUCCGUGGGGAGCCCGACGCGUCUGCUUCCCGGCCCUGGAGCUGCACGGCUACAACGGCUGGUUACGUCGCUCAUGUUGGAGAAGAACUUCCGGUCGAAACAGUGCAAAAUAGUUGAGCACAUUUAUUGA